AAGUCGUAACAAGGUUUCCGUAGGUGAACCUGCGGAAGGAUCAUUACCAAAUCCAAAAAAAACUUUCUAUCAACACCCCAAUGUGAACUGAGAAUGGUUUCGUCCCUCCGAAUUCUUCUCUUCUUCGGAAGAAAGGGAGGAGGAGGGAUGUUCAAACACAUUUUUUUUUCAACCCCUUUUCAACCAUUAAAAACCCAUUUUUUUAAUGCUGAAAGCAAAACAAAAAAUACGAAACAUGAGACAACUUUUAACGGUGGAUCUCUUGGCUCGU
RNAcentral lists this unclassified non-coding RNA (271 nucleotides) under fungal sp. RNAcentral describes it as "partial internal transcribed spacer region". The stretch from base 1 to 46 matches the Rfam family "Eukaryotic small subunit ribosomal RNA", at positions 1786 to 1831 of the family's 1831-position model. Lineage: Eukaryota; Fungi. The record is from RNAcentral.